RNAcentral lists this long non-coding RNA (1110 nucleotides) under Oncorhynchus mykiss (rainbow trout). RNAcentral's name for it is "lncRNA (ENSOMYG00000063883.1)". Lineage: Eukaryota; Metazoa; Chordata; Actinopteri; Salmoniformes; Salmonidae. The record is from RNAcentral.
AUGGACAAAGAGCAUGGCUGUGGUUUAGAGAGAGGGGGCCAACAGGGCCUGUGGGGGUCUUGUGGCGGUGGAGGACUCCGAGGUCCAACACGAGCAGGACUUCUGCUGACAUGGACUGCUGGGUCAGAGCCAGAGACAGGGAGACAGUGCAGGAGACAGGGUGACAGAGCCAGAGAGACAGGGUCAGAGAGACAGGGACAGGGCCAAAGACAGAGGGACAGGGCCAAAGACAGAGGGACAGGGCCAAAGACAGAGGGACAGGGCCAAAGACAGAGGGACAGGGCCACAAGACAGAGGGACAGGGCCAGAGGGACAGGGCCAAAGACAGAGGGACAGGGCCAGAUACAGAGGGACAGGGACAGAUACAGAGGGACAGGGCCAAAUACAGAGGGACAGGGCCAAAGACAGAGGGACAGGGCCAAAGACAGAGGGGCAGGGCCAAAGACAGAGGGGCAGGGCCAAAGACAGAGGGGCAGGGCCACAAGACAGAGGGACAGGGCCAGAGGGACAGGGCCAGAUACAGAGGGACAGGGCCAGAGACAGAGAGACAGGGCCAGAGACAGAGGGACAGGGCCAAAGACAGAGGGACAGGGCCAGAGACAGAGGGACAGGGCCAGAGACAGAGGGACAGGGCCAGAGACAGAGGGACAGGGCCAAAGACAGAGGGACAGGGCCAGAGACAGAGGGACAGGGCAAGAUACAGAGGGACAGGGCCAGAUACAGAGGGACAGGGCCAAAGACAGAGGGACAGGGCCAAAGACAGAGGAACAGGGACAGAGGGACAGGGCCAAAGACAGAGGGGCAGGGCCAAAGACAGAGGGGCAGGGCCAGAGGGACAGGGCCAGAGACAGAGGGACAGGGCCAGAGACAGAGGGACAGGGCCAGAGACAGAGGGACAGGGCCAGAGACAGAGGGACAGGGCCAAAGACAGAGGGACAGGGCCAGAGACAGAGGGACAGGGCCAGAGACAGAGGGACAGGGCCAGAGACAGAGGGACAGGGACAGGGCCAGAGACAGAGGGACAGGGCCAGAGACAGAGGGACAGGGCCAGAUACAGAGGGACAGGGCCAGAGACAGAGGAACAGGGCCAGAAGACUUCUGAACAAUUAA